Molecule: long non-coding RNA, 360 nt
Organism: Gossypium arboreum
Lineage: Eukaryota; Viridiplantae; Streptophyta; Magnoliopsida; Malvales; Malvaceae
Exons: 3
Source: RefSeq, a predicted model, not a curated record
AAUGGAUGAAAUAUGAAGUUUUAUUAAAAGAAAAAGGGGUGAAAAGAACAAACUUUUGUCCAUCUUUGUUCAUCAUAGCUGAAAGUUAGAGAAGAGAAAGGAGAGGAGAAAGCUCUUGAGUAUUCGGUCAUUAGGAGGAGGAAAAUUAAAGGCGGUUCGUGUGUGGAUCUCGUCAGCAUAUCGUCGCAAACAGGUAAUCCCCAACCAUAGUGGGCUUGGAGCUGUGAGGGAAUUCGGAGUGGCCACCCGUUCUGAAAGUUUGAUUUUCUUCUGGUGAACUGGACAUCCUUUUAAUUACGUUUGAGGUUUUGGGCUUUUAAAUGUAAUAAGGCCGCUGAUUUAUUUUUGAUGGUUUUUAAA